RNAcentral lists this long non-coding RNA (402 nucleotides) under Phoenix dactylifera (date palm). RNAcentral describes it as "long non-coding RNA (PDAC_LNC007275)". The record is from RNAcentral. Lineage: Eukaryota; Viridiplantae; Streptophyta; Magnoliopsida; Arecales; Arecaceae.
AGGAUGGAUUGGGAAGAGAAUUUAUAAGAUUCAUGUGUGUGUAAAUAGACUUGAAAGUUCACAUACCAAUAGCUAAGGAAAUCUUCUAAAAUAUUCAUGUACAAUGAAUGAUAUCUUUUGGUAAGCUAUACAUGGGAUAAUAUCUUGGUAGAAGAUUCACUAAAUCUAGUGCAUUGAAGUCUUAAGGAUUUGAUGCUCAUGUGUGACCACAUAUACAACAAGCCUAUGUGUUGAGAGGCUCACCAUUCAUUGGCAUAGUCACAAGUUUGCCAUUUGGGAGCAUUUGACCAGUGUAAAGUUUAGCAUUUGGAAUGGAUAGAUAAAAUAAAUAAUAAAAUUAAAAGGUAGGGACUUUCAUAAAAUAUUUUUUUGUUUAUUUACUUAAAGUAAGCACAUCAGUGG